UAUACGAUAGAGCACCACAGUGGCUGACCAAUCAGAAAGCAAGCAGGAAUUAUGAUGGUUAUAACAAUCACUACGACUUAAUUAGAAUAAAAAUGGUAGUGGAUUAGUAACCAGUUUAACAAUAACGGCGAUUUGCCCUUCAGAGAUCAUAAAGCAUUUCUUUGAGAAAGGUUUCAUUCUCGCGGAGGUAGUACAGUUAUUGAGCGUUUGACAGAGUUUAGGCUAAGGUGCAUUGUCUUAGUUCUACUUUGUUCCGUAAGACUGCUACAAUCAUAACAUGAAGGAAAUUAUACGACAGAAUUUACGUCGAAGCAAUGUCCGUCUAGCUUUAUUGACAGCUUUCUAUAUAUUGGUUUUAACGAUCGGUGCUUUGAUAUUUUGGGCUACAGAGUCUCCUGAAGAAAUCGAUAUGAUACACAUGCUUCGCAGUAAACGCUCUCAGUUCCUGGAUGACUAUUCUUGUGUUACUGACGAAGAUCUUGAAGCGUUUGUAAAAGACAUUAUUAGUGGAAGUAACAGGGGAGUCAGAGCUGUUCGAAACGUUACCAUGGAACCCAACUGGAGUUUCGGCCAAUCAGUGUUUUUCUCCACCACCGUAGUGACAACAAUAGGUUAUGGACAAGUAAGACCCUUAUCCCAAGGAGGAAAAAUUUUCUGUAUAAUAUACGGACUGGUUGGUAUUCCUCUGACAAUGACGUUAUUAUCAGCCUAUGUGGAACGUCUCAUGAUACCAGCAGUGUUCCUCCUGCAGUUCCUAAACUCUCGACUUGGACAUCUGUUCCAACCUUUCAAUAUUCGAAUGUUUCAUCUGUCUAUAGUUGGGGUUUUAGUUCUAUCUUUAUUUUUCAUUAUUCCUGCGGUCAUAUUCUCUCACCUGGAGCCAGAAUGGGACUACUUGGACGCCCUCUACUAUUGUUUCAUUUCUUUGACAACCAUAGGGCUAGGAGACUAUGUUCCUGCAGAUAGUUCUCAUCAGGAGUAUCGCCCUCUGUACAAAGUUUGUAGUGCAUUUUACCUUCUGAUUGGCCUAACGUUUAUGAUGUUCUUCUUGUCGGUGUUGUACACCAUUCCAGAACUCAAUAUUGGGAUAUUUUUCCUUGCAAAGAGUGAUGAUGUCAUCGGGACAGCCAAGACUAAUGUUCGUUCCAGAUAUCCUGGUCAGUUCGAUGAUCCCGAGCCCACAAUUCGACAUGUUAAAACUAUCCGAAGAUCCAGUUCGUCUUCUGAAGAUGAUAACCCUUGAACAUGUCGUUCGCUUUAUUUAUUCAAACUUUUAGCUUUUUUUUGUGUGCAGUACUCACACUGUUGAUGUAAGUGUAAGCCUGCAUUCACAGUGACUGCAGUUGGGUUGAGAACGUGAGUAUAAAUGUAGGAUAGUAUAUGUGGUGUAAAAUAAGUUAUGUCUUUUCCAGUUCUAAAUAAUGUACGAGAAAGAAAUGUUGUGGUAAUACACGGAUAAACCUAGCUUACAGUCACUCGAUCUCCACAAAAACAAGAGAUUUGUGAAUCUAAAAUGCAAAAGGAAAGUUGUAGCGACAAGACAAAAUAAAAAACAAACUAUUUAGGCAAAGAAUGUGGCGAAAGAUCGCCAGGUAGUAUAUUUGGACAAUUGGGUAUAGGAGGAAUGUAGGAAGGAAAUGGAAAGGAAUGAGAAGCGAUAAAUUGCAGCACACACACGAUCAGCAGGUUAAAACCCAGUAAAACAAAGACAGGAACUCCACAGCAAACCUUGGUUUUCUUUCAGAUAAAUUAUUUACUUUCCUCAGAAGUUAGAGUAAAUUUCCAUUUUUUGUUUUUGUUUUUUUUUCAAUAUACAUUCUCCCUCUCUCUCUGCAGCUAACCAAUGCGAAGAAGAGUAUCAGAAUUGAGGGAAUAUUCCUGCUCUAUGUGACAGUUGCAAGGUAGUUCUCUAUAUACGAGGUAAAGCAGUACAACUGUCUCAUGAAACAGUAGAUACAGUCGAGAAAAAGUAAUAUUUCAGAUAAAAUGUAGUAUACGAUCUCAACUAAAUUUAAUAUUUUCCAAAUCAGAAAUGCAGAAAUAAUAUUUAGGUUCUACACUACAGGAAAAUAUGGAAUGUGGGUCUUUGUUACUAAAAUAUCAGAAAAACAACGUACACACAAAAAAAAUCAUCAACACAGAAUGGAUGACGUGGAGAUAGUGGCUGUCAAACAGGCAUCAUUGACUCGGUACCCUUUCUCUCUUAGCGUCUAACUUUAACUCGAAUGAAACCUGGCUAUGGAUAACCUAGAAGAUAGAUUACGGAUCGUGAUAAUCCGUUAUAUAUAUCUAAAUUCAUUUAUCCAUUUGUGUGAACACGAAAUUCGUUUAUGUUGGGGGGGGGGGGGAACCCAGAUGGUACACACUUCUACUGCCAUGCAUAGCUAAGUUUCCCGUUACAUACAAUAUCAAAUUUUAUGUACACUUAAAGAAGACUAAUCUUUCGUUAUGAACGGACCAAACAUAACCUAUAUUAUCAAGAAAUAAUCAAAUGUUUCAAACACACUAAUUAAGCUGUGACAUGUUCUCUUUGAUAUCAUAUAGUGACAAUACUGUAUUUAGCCUUAUCAAUACUGAAGCCUUAUUUUUAUUGGCUUUUCUCAGAAUAUAACAAUGUUGCAUAAAAGUUAGGUACCCACCGUGACUUUUAAUGGUUGAUAGUCGUCUCAGCUAGCCAUAGUGGCUAGCAUGUUUACGGGUUACAAUUCAACAUACAUUAUCCAGGGCAAGCAUUGCGAUACGGCAAUUCUUUAUUAACCAGUAGAUCAGAUAUGUAUAAAUUAAUUCAGGUUAAAGUUAUGUGAUGUUUAAAGUAAUGUAUGAAACUACCAGCAUAAUUAAAACAUAGUUAAAUACGUCUUUAGUAACUCGAUGGUAAUUCUUUUACACCUACAUUAAAAUACAAAGCUUGUGAAACGCAAUAGAAAUUGUUAAUUUUAUAGGUUGCACACAAAAUAUUUACUGACAAAUCUGCUACUACUCUGAUCAUAAAAGUAUACUCUAAGUUGUUACUUCUCUCUUUGAAGGACCAGGAAUCAAGUGAUCUGCUGUGUCGUGGGUUUUGUUGGUCUGCCCUGUGAUAAAACUUUUAUAGUAAUUCUGAAUAACAACGAAAAAAAUUUGGCAUAGCCUUUCAGCUUUUUCCACGAUAGUUGUUUGUACUUUUGGAAUAAAAAUAUUUACGUAUUUUCAAAAUUAUCCACAGAUUUGAACACAAUGAAAGUAAAAAAAAAAAAAAAAAAUGUAUUUUGUUGGCGACACACCCUGUCCGCCUCGACAAGUUUGUGUUCUACUUCCGUAAUUUUUUUUUCUAUUGUAUUAUUCAGCUCAUUUUACUUAGUACUGUACAUUAAAGACAGAUGGCGUGUACAAGAUAUUUAACAGCACAUUUUUGCUAUCAAUUCCUAACUUCUGUAUCUUAUAUAUUAUGCAUUAAUUAUCCGACUUUAAGGGAAUUAAAAAAAGUUAAAACUAUAGAAUAAUGGGAUAUAAAGGAAGCGUAUAUUAGUAUUCUGAUAAAAAAGUUAGCACACAGAAUCACCCACAAAAUGUGCAAUGGAUUCGGGGUCUUUUUUUUAUUUUUUGAAUUCCUUAUAUCUUACUUAUCAUAUUUUCCAUUUCUAAAAUUUCUAAGCCCUAUGCAUGUUAGCGUAACUACAGAAGAUUCCCCAACCCCGCAUAUUAAUAGGAUAGUAAUUGGGUCCCCCAUAUUUAUUUCCCUAUAAUUGUAGUUACGAUUCUGGCUGCAUUAACUUAACUGAAAAUUCAAAAUUAAACCAAUCUUAAAAUUGCAGCUAGUGUUAAUUUUCGAAUUACACGUGUAUGAAAUUUCGAGCCGAUUAGGUUUCGUAUUGAUGAAACCGAAGAACGUAGUACGUAUGGUGGAACUGUAAUUAUGAUAUUUCCACCAUUACCACUAAAUAAGGCGGUCAGUGUGUAGACUCAGUCUGCUCUGUUUUUACUCUACCAGAAUAGUGCAACCCCCACUUUAGUAAAAAACAAAACAAAUGAAAUUAUCUGUCUCUCCCCUAUGUUUGUCAGGCCUUUCUCCCCCUACCCACGCAAUUGCGGGGACAUACGUGCGUCAAUGCUUAUGUAUCUUGUUCCUUUAUAAUUGCCCUGAAAAUUCAACGAACACGCAAAUAUUAACAUGAGUGUGUUAUAUAACACACUGAACAUUAGUGCAGUGAGCAAAAGAAAAUAACCAUGGUGAAACGUUCGGCAAAUUAAAGUUUAUUGACAAAUACGAAAUUAACGUUUUGGACAACAUCGGGUUUCUAGUGAGGAGAAAGCAAAUUUUUUAGAAGAGAUUGGGUCUAAGAAAUUAAGAAAACCAAAACAAGCAAGAACGCGUGGGUUGAAGGUUCGAGAACAUUUUUUUAUGUUAGAAUAGAACAAAUAAAGAUACGAGAAGUAACGCAUACACACAAAAUAAUAAUCACAUGGCUAACUUUGGAAUAAAUAAAAAUAAUCACGAGAAAAGGGACGGUAAACUGGAGUAAUAACAUAUAAAAAAUAAGUAGAACAAGAAUAAAAGGGCAGGGGCUCAUUUACAAAAAUAAAAUGAGGAAACUUUUAAAGCAUUGAAAGGCAAGACGUUUUUUGAGGAAUGGAGGUAUUAGGAGUGACUACUGUUGGUUGCCUCUGGUAUAAUCAAAUGUCUUUUAAUAGUUGUGGACAUUUUUUUAUUACUGAGAAAAAGAGCGGUUUUGGAGCAUAAGAGCAGAAAGGCAGGAGCUGGAGACAGCCCAGAUCCCCACCUCUAUGCACAUCACUGAACAAUGAGAGAAUGAACGCGUGCAUCGAAUAUUAUUGUCCAACGAGAUACAACAUUGAAAGGUGUAGGUACUGAAUAUAACAUCGCGAAGAAAGACAGUAAAUUUGAAAUGUGACUUAUAAAAAUCAACAUUUGGUUAAUAAAAUGGCUUGAUAUAACAAACAAACGUAAGUGAUCGAACUAGUUGAACAAAAUUAAACAAACCAAAGACCGUCAUAAGAAAGCUUAGAUCAGGUAUAAAGGAAUGUGGAAAGGGAAGCGGAUAAGGUUGAAGGAAAGAUAAUUCUUGGUUCAUUCCAAGGGAUUUAUUAGUGCUUAAUUUGAAAACCAGACGUUUUCCGGACAUUCUCUUUGUGUUACAGUGAAGGAAACAAAUGAGGGUCCUAGUACAGAGAGGCUGGAGAUGUCUGCGUGUCUACCUGUAGAUGCAGUGUGAAGAGUUACAUGCGUGUCUACCUGUAGAUGCAGUGUGAAGAGGUUACAUGCGUGUCUACCUGUAGGUUUCGUACUGUCAUUACUUCUUACAUAGAAGUGAUGUACUAUUUGCUAUGUGGCAAUCUAUUUGACCAAUGUAUGGCAUACCAAAUUUUUUACAAAUUACACAAUGUACUAGGUUCGUCGAAAUGCACGUGAAUGACUGUUGUAUUUGGAAUUUUCUAAUGGGACCAUAUAUGGAUAUUAUGGUGUUAAAAUACUGGCAAGUAACGUAUUUCUUUCUCUAAGAAAAAGAUUGAUACUGUGGACCAAAAUGAUUUUUGAUACUUUUAUCAUGUUUGUAACAGACGAGUGGACGUUCUUCAAGUAUUUCGAAGUUAUAGGGUCGUCGGUAUAUCGACAUUUUGUUUGAUGACCUGGUAUUUGAACAGAUUAUGGUAAUCGGUAUUUGAGAGUUUAUAGACUUGAGUUUAGGGCAUAAUUUCGAAUUACGGAAUUGGUGUGUUCAGCGGCUUUCUCUAUAAAUGUCCCCUUGUGGGACAGUGGUAAGUCUAUGGACUUACAACGCUAAAAUCCCGGAUUUGAUUCAUCGAGGUGGAUCCAGCAGAUAGCCCACUGUGGCUUUGAUCUCGAACAGAUAUAUACAUUCUCUAUAAAAGGCUUAGGUAAGCUCGAGAAAAAAGGUAUAAAGAAAUCUUUAAUUUAUUUAUAUCCUGAUUCGUAAUCGCUUUGUCCACUGCUAAGUCUACACAGCCUUAAGAAUUGGGUAUAUGGAAGUUGUUGGACUUGCAUGGGACAAGUAACAGCCGAGGUAAGAAUGGAAAUCGGUAAUGGACUGAUGUUGGCUUACCUCCGAGCGUCGUUUAAAUGGGAAUCGGUAAUAGACUGAUGUUGGUUAAACGACGCUCUUCAACGGAAAUGUAUUUCAAAAAGGUAAUCUCGUUCGGGAAACUGGCCACGUGAGAUGGAAGAAAUAUGCAAAUUGUUAGAAUUAUUUUAAUUCACACAAGGACCUGCUAGUCGCACCAAUAAUGUAAUCAGUAAAGCGUUCCUUGAAAGGUGGAGAAAAUCAGAUUUUCUAUAUAUCUAACAAAUAUUGAAGCAUAAUAGGGACCCAUUUUGUGUCCCAGCAACACUUUCAGUUUGUUGAUGAAACGUGCCGUUAAAGAAGAACUCGUUCAUGGUUAAUAAAAGUUCAGCAAGAGGGUAUGAGUUAGGGGGGGGUCUAAUGAAUAUCGCAGAUCCAGGUAAUAUUUGAGGGUUUUCAUACCUUCCUCAUGUGGAAUCUAUGUGUAGAUUGUUUUAAUGUCCAUAGCAAACAUAUGAUAUUCAUUACCAGAAAAUUGAAACUUGUUGAAAAUUGGGAGUGCGGUAUCACGUCUUUUAUGUAAGUUAUAGGUGGCGCUUGAGUCUCUUGUGUUGAUAGGCAAUUUUGUCACAUACACUGUAUAAUACUUUUUGAGUUGAUGAGAAUAAUGCUCUGUAUAGGAAGUUUUAUUUGGGAAGGCUGUUUAUUUGUCCAUGACAGGUGGUCAAGGGGGCUGCCCCUUGGGUGGUCAGAGAUGAACUCUCUACAUCCAUUUGGGGAGGCUAAGCCUUCUCGAGUCUCUUAUGUGCGCCGCCUCUGUGUAAGUAGGAAAGAAGAAAUUAAUCCAGUAAGGCAGUUACAUACCAAAAUGAUUGGUCGACCAAAACUCCCUGGUUUAUACAUCUUAGGAACACUGUAAAAUUCCGGAGUUCUGGGAUUACUGAGAGUCAACUUGAUAGCAUCCAGUAAGAAAUUAAACGUGUGAAUCAAAUCAUUAACGACUGUGUUAAUUUUGAGGUUGAACGAUACAGUCAGGUCGGUAGUUAGGGAACUUUAUAAGCGAUUGUCAGUAAAUUGUUCUUCAGCAAAGUUCACAUUUUUACACCACAUUACUAUUCUGCCACCUUUAUCGGCAAGUUUAACUAUGAUGUCUCGUCGUUUAGAAAGUUCUAGUAAGGUUUUGUGGUCAUCAGGGGUCAGGUUUACUUCGUAAUUUCCAUGCCCACAAAAACACGUUAGUGCAAUGAAAUAACAUUCUUCACAACAAAUAAUAGAAAAAUGGUUAUUUCAAUGUUCCAUACAACAAACGAGUUUUGACAUUCUACUCUUGUUCGUUAGUUAAGAAGUGUUUUCUUCUUCUGUAUUCUUAUCAGCUGUUAAAAACUUGUCCCAUCUUCUAGUUUAAUAGAACAGUUAAACGGGUUUUGACAUUCUACUCUUGUUCGUUAGUUAAGAAGUGUUUUCUUCUGUAUUCUUAUCAGCUGUUAAAAACUUGUUCCAUCUUCUAGUUUAAUACAACAGUUAAACGUGUUUUGUCUUCCAAGCGCUAAAUAACAUUUUCUAAAGGUGAUCCGCCUUUCAAGUUCUGUACAAGUUAAAGAACUUUGAAACACACAAUUGUUUGUUUAUAGCUAGGCGCGGAACUACAUAAUGGGUUAUUUGUGUUGUGCUCACCAAGAUAUCGAAACCCGGUUUUCAGCGUCAUAAGCCUUCAGACUUACUGCUGAGCCACUGGAGGUCAUUAACAAACGGAUUCGAUCUUACAAGGUCUAUACUUCAAAUACUAAACGUGUUCUGUACAAUAAUUAACAAAAGUCUUGUCUUUUCAGGAUUAAUACAACAAUUAACAAAGGCGUCUUGUCUUUUCAGUUGUAGACAACAGUUAAUACAUCACACAACAACCAGGAGAGCUAAAGAUUAAAAAUAACUUUUUUUUCUUUUAGCUAUCAGACAAGGUCUUAUCGGUUGUACAGAGUAAAAGCCAGAGUUUUUGUAUCUCAUCUGAUAAUUCCAAGUAAACUUAGUGAAACGUUGUGAACAAUACUUUUACUCAGUACAACCCAUAAAGAAUUACCUGAAAACUAGGACAGCUGUAGUAAAAAGGUAUGCUAUGAAACAUGUACGUUUAUUGGAUAUAGAGGAUUAUAUCAACACAAUGAGUGUACACGGCAAACAAUAUCAUUGUAUUUUAAAACAAAUCAUUUAUAUGGCAGUAGAUAUAUGGACAGCAAGGAAUUCUCAAACAAUUUAGCAGUAUACUUUAUAAAACAAUGAGUUAUAAAACCUUCAGUGUUAAUGUUUAUAAUAUGGCCAAGCAUGUAAACUAGGUAACAUUGUUAUCCUAUGUUUAUAAUAUGGCCAAGCAUGUAAACUAGGUAACAUUGUUAUCCUAUGUUUAUAAUAUGGCCAAGCAUGUAAACUAGGUAACAUUGUUAUCCUAUGUUUAUAAUAUGGCCAAGCAUGUAAACUAGGUAACAUUGUUAUCCUAU
RNAcentral lists this unclassified non-coding RNA (8509 nucleotides) under Limulus polyphemus (Atlantic horseshoe crab). RNAcentral describes it as "potassium channel subfamily K member 1-like, transcript variant X1". Lineage: Eukaryota; Metazoa; Arthropoda; Merostomata; Xiphosura; Limulidae. The record is from RNAcentral.